GACGAACGCUGGCGGCGUGCUUAACACAUGCAAGUCGAACGGUGAAGCGCCUUCCUUUUUGGUUGGUGUGGAUGAGUGGCGAACGGGUGAGUAACACGUGAGUAACCUGCCCCCUUCUUCUGGAUAACCGCAUGAAAGUGUGGCUAAUACGGGAUAUUCUGGGUCUGUCGCAUGAUGGGUCUGGGAAAGAUAUUGUUUCGGUGGGGGAUGGGCUCGCGGCCUAUCAGCUUGUUGGUGGGGUGAUGGCCUACCAAGGCGGUGACGGGUAGCCGGCCUGAGAGGGUGGACGGUCACACUGGGACUGAGACACGGCCCAGACUCCUACGGGAGGCAGCAGUGGGGAAUAUUGCACAAUGGGCGCAAGCAUGAUGCAGCGACGCCGCGUGAGGGAUGGAGGCCUUCGGGUUGUGAACCUCUUUCGCCAGUGAAGCAGGCCUGCCUCGUUUGUGGGUGGGUUGACGGUAGCUGGAUAAGAAGCGCCGGCUAACUACGUG
This 494-nucleotide ribosomal RNA is filed under the name uncultured bacterium. RNAcentral describes it as "partial 16S ribosomal RNA". It matches the Rfam family "Bacterial small subunit ribosomal RNA", at positions 28 to 507 of the family's 1533-position model. The record is from RNAcentral.